Molecule: ribosomal RNA, 809 nt
Filed under: uncultured archaeon
Lineage: Archaea
Description: bacterial SSU rRNA
Rfam family: Archaeal small subunit ribosomal RNA
Source: RNAcentral
ACUGCUCAGUAACACGUGGCUAACCUACCCUCAGGACGGGAACACCCUCGGGAAACUGAGGCUGACUCCCGAUAGAUGAUGGAUCCUGGAAUGGUUCUUCAUCCAAAUGAUAUGUGGUUCAUGCAUCGCAUAUCGCCUGAGGAUGGGGCCGCACCCUAUCAGGUAGUUGGUGGGGUAAUGGCCCACCAAGCCUAUAACGGGUACGGGCCUUGAGAGAGGGAGCCCGGAGAUGGGCACUGAGACAGGGGCCCAGGCCCUACGGGGCGCAGCAGGCGCGAAACCUCUGCAAUGCGCGAAAGCGCGACAGGGCCACCCCGAGUGCCAUCCGCUGAGGAUGGCUUUUCUCUGGUGUAGUGAGCCAGGGGAAUAAGCGGGGGGCAAGCCUGGUGUCAGCCGCCGCGGUAAUACCAGCUCCGCGAGUGGUCGGGACGAUUAUUGGGCCUAAAGCGUCCGUAGCCGGCCUAGCAAGUCUCUGGUUAAACCUCAGGGCUCAACCCUGAGAUCGCUGGAGAUACUGUUAGGCUAGGGGGCGGGAGAGGUUGAGGGUACUUCGCGGGUAGGGGCGAAAUCCUAUAAUCCGCGAAGGACCACCAGUGGCGAAGGCGCUCAACUGGAACGCGCCCGACGGUGAGGGACGAAAGCCAGGGGAGCAAAGGGGAUUAGAUACCCCCGUAGUCCUGGCUGUAAACGAUGCGGGCUAGGUGGUUGGGGUUGGCUUCGUGCCAACCCGGUGCCGCAGUGAAAGGCGAUAAGCCCGCCGCCUGGAAGUGCGGCUGCAAGGCUGAAACUUAAAGGAAUUGGCGGGGGAG